Molecule: unclassified non-coding RNA, 345 nt
Filed under: soil metagenome
Description: partial contains 5.8S ribosomal RNA, internal transcribed spacer 2, and large subunit ribosomal RNA
Rfam family: 5.8S ribosomal RNA (bases 1-120)
Source: RNAcentral
GAUGAAGAACGCAGCGAAAUGCGAUAAGUAAUGUGAAUUGCAGAAUUCAGUGAAUCAUCGAGUCUUUGAACGCACAUUGCGCCCCCUGGUAUUCCGGGGGGCAUGCCUGUCCGAGCGUCAUUGCUGCCCUCAAGCACGGCUUGUGUGUUGGGCCUCCGUCCUCCUCCCGGGGGCCGGGCCCGAAAGGCAGCGGCGGCACCGCGUCCGGUCCUCGAGCGUAUGGGGCUUCGUCACCCGCUCUUGUAGGCCCGGCCGGCGCUUGCCGACACAUCAAUCUUUUUUCCAGGUUGACCUCGGAUCAGGUAGGGAUACCCGCUGAACUUAAGCAUAUCAAUAAGCGGAGGA